GUACUCUCACACUCCCGAUGCUUUUGGAUCGGGAGCGGUGGACUUGGGUGUUGCGGCUUAACUGCGGCUCGCCUCAAAUGGAGUAGUGCAACUCUCGGUUGGACAUAGUACGGCGUGAUAAGUAUCUUCGCCGGCGCCUCUUUAGAGGGUGGCUGAUCGGGAGCUCUGUGCUUCAAACCGUCUUCGGACAACAUCUGACA
RNAcentral lists this unclassified non-coding RNA (200 nucleotides) under uncultured Sebacina. RNAcentral's name for it is "sequence contains ITS2". Lineage: Eukaryota; Fungi; Basidiomycota; Agaricomycetes; Sebacinales; Sebacinaceae. The record is from RNAcentral.